GACGAACGCUGGCGGCGUGCUUAACACAUGCAAGUCGAACGGAAAGGCCCUGCUUUUGUGGGGUGCUCGAGUGGCGAACGGGUGAGUAACACGUGAGUAACCUGCCCUUGACUUUGGGAUAACUUCAGGAAACUGGGGCUAAUACCGGAUAGGAGCUCCUGCUGCAUGGUGGGGGUUGGAAAGUUUCGGCGGUUGGGGAUGGACUCGCGGCUUAUCAGCUUGUUGGUGGGGUAGUGGCUUACCAAGGCUUUGACGGGUAGCCGGCCUGAGAGGGUGACCGGCCAAACUGGGACUGAGAGUAGGCCGCAUGUCCUUCCGCAGCCAGGAGUGGGGGCUAGUCCGAAAUGGGCGGUAACCACAAGCACCAACGCCGCGUUCGGGGUGACGGACUUCGGGGUGAAAGCCGCUUUUGCCUGUGACGGAGCGUCACUGACGGUAAUGGGUAAAGCUACACCGGCUAACGAAGUG
RNAcentral lists this ribosomal RNA (468 nucleotides) under uncultured bacterium. RNAcentral's name for it is "partial 16S ribosomal RNA". It matches the Rfam family "Bacterial small subunit ribosomal RNA", at positions 28 to 507 of the family's 1533-position model. The record is from RNAcentral.